AGAACCACCGUGGCCCUGAUG
This 21-nucleotide microRNA is filed under the name Picea abies (Norway spruce). RNAcentral describes it as "pab-miR950h". Its record names the gene pab-miR950h. The record is from miRBase by way of RNAcentral. Lineage: Eukaryota; Viridiplantae; Streptophyta; Pinopsida; Pinales; Pinaceae.